UGGGGAAUAUUGCACAAUGGGCGCAAGCCUGAUGCAGCCAUGCCGCGUGUAUGAAGAAGGCCUUCGGGUUGUAAAGUACUUUCAGUCGGGAGGAAGGUGGUAAGGUUAAUAACCUUAUCAAUUGACGUUACCGACAGAAGAAGCACCGGCUAACUCCGUGCCAGCAGCCGCGGUAAUACGGAGGGUGCAAGCGUUAAUCGGAAUUACUGGGCGUAAAGCGCACGCAGGCGGUUGAUUGAGUCAGAUGUGAAAUCCCCGGGCUUAACCCGGGAAUUGCAUCUGAUACUGGUCAGCUAGAGUAUUGUAGAGGGGGGUAGAAUUCCAUGUGUAGCGGUGAAAUGCGUAGAGAUCUGGAGGAAUACCGGUGGCGAAGGCGGCCCCCUGGACAAAGACUGACGCUCAGGUGCGAAAGCGUGGGGAGCAAACAGG
RNAcentral lists this ribosomal RNA (429 nucleotides) under Chloroflexota bacterium. Its description in RNAcentral is "Chloroflexi bacterium partial 16S ribosomal RNA". It matches the Rfam family "Bacterial small subunit ribosomal RNA", at positions 355 to 776 of the family's 1533-position model. Lineage: Bacteria; Bacillati; Chloroflexota. The record is from RNAcentral.